GUAGAAUGAUCAAGAAUGAUCAAGCAUGGUUGACCUCAUGGCUUGACAAAAAAUUUCAUGAAAUGGUGAGUAAUUUAUUACAGUCGUCAAGUCACUUAUCAAAUGUGUAUAAUUUUUAAACUUAUUUAAUCGAAUAUUUCAGGUAAGUAAGAAUGAAUAUUCGAAGAGAUCAAAGAAGGAGCUAUUGACCUGACUUGAUUGAUUUGUAAAUUAUUAAUUGAUUGAUUCUUUGUUUAAUACUGUAGUAUUUAUAUAAGGUCUAAUUCUCAUAAAAAAUAAAUAUAAUCAAAGUUUUGAUUUUUCCUAUGAAAUUUCUCAAAAUAGACUAUCUGGAUAUAUAACAUUUGUGUUCAAUUCAUUUUUGAACUGACAACAUUUCAAAUUUAGUUUCUCUUUUCUGAUAAAUAAAAAUUUAUAAAUCACAAACAAAUCAUUGUUAUGACAUGAUUAAUUGUAUUAUAUUCAAUAUCUUCAUUUUAUAUCAAGUACAAGAUUUUAAGACAGAAGACUGUUUAUCUAUAUUAGAAUACAUAAAUAUGUCAUGAAUUAUUGACCAAUAUUUUUUACCCAUUUACAUUCAAAGAAAAAUGAUUAUAGUAUCACAUUUGAACAAAUCCCAAAUUGAAUUAUCAGAAUUUUCCAACGAUACAAAUUAUGAUUAAUUGCUGUAAUAUUAUGCAUUAAUUUCCAUCUGAACAUUUUCAUUCUAUUAUCUUUAAAAAUAGAAUGUAAGUAAGGUUCUUUUAUAAAUAAAUAAGUUAUCAAAAGUGAAUGAUUUUCAUACAUAGAAUCCUACUGGAGCUCUUUAUUAGAUUUAAUUAAAAUAUUAUAUAUUUCUUUGAUGAAAUUUUGUCCAGAUUGUAAUACAAUCCAUGCUAUUCAUCUUUAUAUCUUGUUGAAAAUAAUUUAGUAUUUGUAGAUGUUUUACUCUUUAAUUUUUUCUUUCCAAGAUUUGGUAUAGCUUACGUAACAUACAUGUUUCUGCUAUCCAAUUUUGUUUCCUUUUAAGUUUGUUUAAAAAAAUUUGAGAAAUUUCUCCUUUAUCGUCGAUUAUGUCAUUAAUAAAAAUUAUAUCUUCAUCUAUCCAGUGUUUAAAGUGCAAACUUUUGCCUUGAUUCUUAAUAUAUUGAUUUCCCAUAUAACUUGUUUCUGAUAUCUAAAAGUUCUCAGGGUUUUUUGUCUUCCGCCACCAUUUUAUCCAGCAUUUUAGAUUCUAAGUAAAAGUAGGCAGGUUUUUUAUGUUUUCUAAUGAUUUAUGAGACCCAGAUCAUUUUAAAUAUGAGGUUUUUAGCCCCAAACCACUGAAUAGUAGGUUGGAAUAAUUUUCCAGUUUGCCAAGUUUCAUCUGUAAGUCUUUUAACCCAAUUUUAUUGCUUCAAUGUAAGAAUCUGGAUCUGUCAUUUUUAACCCCCCUUCUAAAUAAUUUUUUAGCACUGAGCGUUUAACUUUCACUACAGCCCUCCCAUAAAAAAUUAUAUAUCACAUUCUUAAACUCAAUAUAGUUUCUGUCACAGAUUUAUUAGGAAUGAAUAUAUGUUAUAUUAGGUAUAACAAGUGUUUGAUGAUAGUGAUUUUACCAAUCAUGCUAAUUUUUCUUUUUUUCCAAUCAUUAAUUAUUUUUUCUGAUUUUUCCAACUGUUUUUCUGUAUUAAGUUUUUGACAUUCUUUCUUAUCAUAGCCAAAAUAAAUACCAAGACUUUUUACGUUAUGUUUCCAAUUAAUGUUUUCGAAUUUGUCCUUGCAGUGUUUAAGUUUACCUAGCCAUAUACCUUCUGUUUUGUUUCUAUUGAGUUUGAGUCCAGAAAGCGAUCCAAGGUUUCAAUUAUAUUAAGUGCAUGCUUUAUUUCAUUUUAGAUUUAAAAAAAAGAGUUGUGUCAUCUGCUAAUUGUGAAAUUUUUGGACUACGAGUUUUUUUUAUCAAUUUUGAUUUGUAUUCCUUUUAUAUCAUUAGAGUCUCUUAUUCUGCAAGCAAGUAAUUCACUGAUAAAAAAACAAUAAAGCGCUUAAAGACAUCCUUGUCGAAUACCGCCUCAAUGUUAAAGGUUUCUGAAAUCCACCGUUAUUUAAAAUACAUCCUUUUAUGUCAUAAUAUAGGGUUUUAACCACUUCUGAAAUGAUUCAUUAAACCAAAUUUCUUUAAUGAUUCCAACAUAAAAUCCCAUUCCAGUGAAUCAAAUGCUUUAGAAAAGUCGAUAAAUAAUAUAGCUCCUUCAAUAUUAAAAUUUUCAGAGUAAUCUAUAAUGUCUUGAAUUUGAUGCACAUUGAAUCCUAUAUAGCGAUUUUUUAUGUACUUUUGGUCCUCUAUGGAUUAUUAAUGGUAAGAUUUUUUUAAGUCUUUGUGCUAAAGUAUAUGUUAUAAUUUCACAUCUAUAUUUAAUAAGUUAUUGGACGGUAGUUAUCCAGGACAAAGGGUCAUUUUUCUUAUAAAUUAGUGAUAUAAUCCCAAUCUUUUUGGGUAAUUAGAUAAAGAUUUUUAUCAUAACAAGUAUUAGAGACUUUCAAAACUAUGUUCUUAAGUUUUGGCCAAAAUUGUCUGUAAAACUCUACAGUUAGACCGUCCUUCCCAGGUGUUUUAUUUAGUUUCAUUUUAAAAAUGGAGGAUGUUAACUCUUCUAAUGUUAAUUUACCAUCUACCUGUUUACUUUCAGAAGUUGUCAAAGAAUGAUUUAUGUUUGUACCCUCAAUAUAUGAUUUUAAGAUUUCAGUAUCAGGGUUAGAGCUUUUACAUAGGACUUUGUAAUACUCUUUACUCAUAUUAAGAAUUUCACUUUGAUCUACAGUUACCUCCCCAUUUUGGACAAUAACUUAUUAAUAGAUUUUUUUGAUGCUGUGUUUUUCUAAAGAUAAAAGAAUUUUGUAUUUUUUUCACCUUCCUCAACCCAUUUAAUUCUUGACCUAAUUUGGGCCCCUUUCGCCUUUGAUGAGUAUAUAUGGUCUAGUUCAUUUUCUAAUUGUUUAAUUUCAUUAAAAAGAAUAUUAUUUGUGUCUGUAGGUAAUGUAUCUAUCCUUUCGUUUAAAGUUUUAAUUUCGCUUUCCAAAACAUUGAUUUUAUUUUUUCUUUCUUUGGCUUUCGAUUUACAAUAUUUAAUUGUAGUGUCUCUGGUAUCAAUUUUGAACAAGUCCCACUGAGUAAGAAGAUUUUCAUUAUUAAAUUUAUUCUCAUACUUAUCAAUCAAUUUAUUUAUUAUUUCUUGAUAUUGAAAGUCGGCUAAUAUACUAUUAUUCAUUUUAAAGUAACCCUUUCCUCGAUUACUUGAAUAAAUAUCUAAUUUUAAAGAAAUAGCUUGGUGGUCUGUACUUGAAAUUUGAGCUGGUCUGAUGUCAGCUGAUACUGCCAGCAUGCGUACUUGUGAACUUAUUAUAAAAAAGUCAAUCCUACUUUCCUCAUUCAUUUUGUAGAUUUUUUCUUUUCCAAGUGUAUUGUUUUUUGGUUUUAUUUUAUAGCCUCCAAAUGUCUAUCAGUUUAUUUGUUUUAAUUACCUGUUUAAGAUUAUUUACUGGCUUUUUAAACUUUUUAUGAAGAUUUUUAUUUUUUGUAUCUAUACUAGAUAGAAGGUCAUUCAUAUCUCCUCCUACAAUUAAUGCACCAAGACUGUGCUCUUCAAUUAAACCUUGUACUUUUUUAAAGAAUGUGUUCCUUGCGUGAACUUCAUUUGGUGCAUACAAGUUUAAUAAAGUAAAUAUCUUAUCUUGAAUUUCCAAAUUAAUUAAAAUUAUUCUUCCUUCAUUGUCACAAAAUUCAUUUAUUAGUUUAAAAUCAAGUGUUUUGCUUAUAAAGAAAGAAACACCUCUCGAAUUUGUUUUGCCUAGACUGUGGUGGUGUUUUCCAUGAAACUCAUUAUUAAUUUUCGUUAUAAUAUCUUUUGAGAAAUGGGUUUCUUGUGCCAUUAAAAUGUCACACUUUUGUUGUUGAAACCAUGUGUAUAGUCUAAAGCGUUUUUCUUUCUUUGCUAACCCUUGACAAUUUAAUGAACAAAUAUGAAGAUUUUUAAUGUUCAUAGUAGUUAGUUGUAUUUGUUGUUAUAGGAAACAGUUCUAAAAAUCCAUUUAAAUGCCAACAGAAGUUUUUGCUUAUCGAGUUUCUGUUUGGUCGUGACCCAGAUAUACACCAGGUUAUUUAUAGAUCUAUAUAUAGCAUUGAUAAAGUUUAAAUCUAUUUUUAGUUUCAUUACUGACUUUCCGAAAAUCUCUCUUAAUAGGUAAUUGAAAUGUACCGGAUUUAGAAAGUUUUGAAGUGUAAUUAUUUUGAUGUUAAAAUUGACACUUACGGUAUUUAUAUAAAAUAUUCUACCUUCUACCUCAUAAAAAACUUUCUUUUCUUUUUCAGAUUCAACAUCAAAGGUUGAUGUGUUGACCUUGUAUGAGUUAACAACUACCUGAACUAUUUUUACAGUCAACAUGUGCAUGAUAUGGAAUGUAAACAAAUGAAUAAUUCUAGGAUUUUUUAUAUUUGAAACAUCAUAUACAGGAUUUACAUUGCAAUAUAGUGUGGAUACAUCAUUAUAUAGUGAAAUUGAUAUUCCAACUGAUUUUAACCAUUUAUGGAAAUUUAUAAAUUGACCUACUAGAUGAAUGGACUUUGACAGUAUAUCAAUCACAAACUUAGAACUAUAAAAUUGAAUUAGUUUACUGCCUAUCUGCGAUCCAUAUAAGUGAAUUAUAUUGAACAUAUCAACAAAAUCUUUUAAAGUGAUUCUGAUGCUUUUACAGUUCAUGAAUGCAGUACCAGUUUCAAGCGACUUAUAAAGUGUUUGUUUCCGAUAGAGUUUUUGUCUCUUUAUUCAAAAGAUUGUGUUUACAUUCUAAACAGUCUUCAUAUAGACUUUUAUCUGUGUU
Molecule: long non-coding RNA, 4836 nt
Filed under: Mytilus galloprovincialis (Mediterranean mussel)
Lineage: Eukaryota; Metazoa; Mollusca; Bivalvia; Mytilida; Mytilidae
Source: RNAcentral